CUUAUGGCCCAGUAGACAGAGUGUGAUGAUCAGGACAUAAGCACAACAAAAAUUAGAAUGACACAGAAAAGAUUAGCAUGGCCACUGUUUAAGGACAACAAGAAAAUUCAAAAAGCUUUCCAUAUUUUU
Molecule: small nuclear RNA, 129 nt
Organism: Nannospalax galili (Upper Galilee mountains blind mole rat)
Lineage: Eukaryota; Metazoa; Chordata; Mammalia; Rodentia; Spalacidae
Source: Ensembl